RNAcentral lists this ribosomal RNA (291 nucleotides) under uncultured bacterium. RNAcentral describes it as "partial 16S ribosomal RNA". The record is from RNAcentral.
GGACUACUGGGGUAUCUAAUCCUGUUUGCUCCCCACGCUUUCGUGUCUCAGCGUCAGUUGCGGUCCAGUAAGCCGCCUUCGCCACUGGUGUUCCUCCCAAUAUCUACGCAUUUAACCGCUACACUGGGAAUUCCGCUUACCUCUCCCGCACUCAAGCUUCUCAGUUUCAAGCGCAUACAUGGGUUGAGCCCAUAUCUUUAACGCCUGACUUAAAAAGCCGCCUACACACCCUUUACACCCAGUAAUUCCGGAUAACGCUUGCCACCUACGUAUUACCGCGGCGGCUGGCAC